UUUAUUGCGCUAGAGGAGGGGCCGUCGCGUCUCGAUUAGCUUGUUGGUGAGGUAAAAGCUCACCAAGGCGACGAUCAGUAGCUGGAUCGAGAGGUUGACCAGCCACACUGGGACUGAGAUACGGCCCAGACUCCUACGGGAGGCAGCAGUAAGGAAUCUUCCACAAUGGGCGAAAGCCUGAUGGAGCAAUGCCGCGUGCAGGAUGACGGCCUUCGGGUUGUAAACUGCUUUUAUAUGGGAAGAUUAUGACGGUACCAUAUGAAUAAGGACCGGCUAACUACGUG
Molecule: ribosomal RNA, 284 nt
Filed under: uncultured bacterium
Lineage: Bacteria
Description: partial 16S ribosomal RNA
Rfam family: Bacterial small subunit ribosomal RNA
Source: RNAcentral